GACGAACGCUGGCGGCGUGCUUAACACAUGCGAGUCGAACGGAAAGGCCCUGCUUUUGUGGGGUGCUCGAGUGGCGAACGGGUGAGUAACACGUGAGUAACCUGCCCUUGACUUUGGGAUAACUUCAGGAAACUGGGGCUAAUACCGGAUAGGAGCUCCUGCUGCAUGGUGGUGGUUGGAAAGUUUCGGCGGUUGGGGAUGGACUCGCGGCUUAUCAGCUUGUUGGUGGGGUAGUGGCUUACCAAGGCUUUGACGGGUAGCCGGCCUGAGAGGGUGACCGGCCACAUUGGGACUGAGAUACGCCCCAGACUCCUACGGGAGGCAGCAGUGGGGAAUAUUGCACAAUGGGCGGAAGCCUGAUGCAGCAACGCCGCGUGCGGGAUGACGGCCUUCGGGUUGUAAACCGCUUUCGCAUGUGACGAAGCGUGAGUGACGGUAAUGGGUAAAGAAGCACCGGCUAACUACGUG
This 468-nucleotide ribosomal RNA is filed under the name uncultured bacterium. Its description in RNAcentral is "partial 16S ribosomal RNA". It matches the Rfam family "Bacterial small subunit ribosomal RNA", at positions 28 to 507 of the family's 1533-position model. The record is from RNAcentral.